Molecule: ribosomal RNA, 402 nt
Filed under: uncultured Sphingomonas sp.
Lineage: Bacteria; Pseudomonadati; Pseudomonadota; Alphaproteobacteria; Sphingomonadales; Sphingomonadaceae
Description: bacterial SSU rRNA
Rfam family: Bacterial small subunit ribosomal RNA
Source: RNAcentral
UGGGGAAUAUUGGACAAUGGGCGAAAGCCUGAUCCAGCAAUGCCGCGUGAGUGAUGAAGGCCUUAGGGUUGUAAAGCUCUUUUACCCGGGAUGAUAAUGACAGUACCGGGAGAAUAAGCCCCGGCUAACUCCGUGCCAGCAGCCGCGGUAAUACGGAGGGGGCUAGCGUUGUUCGGAAUUACUGGGCGUAAAGCGCACGUAGGCGGCUUUGUAAGUUAGAGGUGAAAGCCCGGGGCUCAACUCCGGAAUUGCCUUUAAGACUGCAUCGCUAGAACGUCGGAGAGGUAAGUGGAAUUCCGAGUGUAGAGGUGAAAUUCGUAGAUAUUCGGAAGAACACCAGUGGCGAAGGCGACUUACUGGACGACUGUUGACGCUGAGGUGCGAAAGCGUGGGGAGCAAACA